AAAUUAGAUUUCUAUUUUAGUUUACCUUAUUAAAGGGUUAUUUAAGUAAAAAAAAAAUUUUAAUUUUAGAUUUUUAUAUUAUUAUUAAUGACAUCUCUAUAUAUUUGGUUUUGAGAAUUUAAAAUUAGGGAGUAGAAUUUAAUUAAUUUUUGAGAAGAAAAUAUUAGAAAAAUUUUAUAAGAUUAGUUAAGUUAGUGCCAGCAUCUGCGGUUAUACUAGCAGUUUAAAUAAUUUAUUAUACAAAGUAAAUAAUUUUUAAUUUUAAGGAAGGUGUAAUUUUUUAUAGAAUUAUAUUAGUUAUUUAAAUACUAAAAAAAAUUGAACUUGGAUUAGAUACCCAAUUAUAGAAGAGUUUGUGAUUAUAAGUUAAGGAAUUUGGCGGUGAACUAUAUUAUUAGCGGGUUAUGAAUUGUAAUGGUUAGUCCUCCUUUAUUCUUACUAUAAAUAUAUUAUAUAUAUCACUGUUGAAAAUUUUAUAUUAGUAUUAAUUAAUAUCUAGUAUUUAUUUGCAUGAGGUCAAGUAGGGAUGUAGAUUUUUAUAGAAUUUUUUGUAACACAUUGAUUAAUUUUUCUAAGAUAAGAAAAUUUUUAAAGUUGGAGUUAAAAGUAAUAAUAUGUUUAACAAAAUAUUUUGAAAAAAUUUUUGGUUUGUGUUCAUACUGCCCGUCAUUUUCAAUUUUAUUGAAGUAAGUCGUAACAAGGUAGAUUAACCGGAAGGUUAAUCUAAAUAAAA
Molecule: ribosomal RNA, 733 nt
Filed under: Setaphyes kielensis
Lineage: Eukaryota; Metazoa; Kinorhyncha; Allomalorhagida; Pycnophyidae
Description: small subunit ribosomal RNA
Source: RNAcentral